CUUUUUUAAAAAUUAAUAAAAUGAUGGUUUAUGGUUAAUCAACUUGGUUGAUCCGAGUUUCAUGUUAGAUCAAAUCUAGGGGUGUUCACAAGGUUGGCUUGGUCUAUUUUUAGUUUUGAUUUUUUUUUUAUAUAAAAAGAGAUCAAACUGAAUUAAUUUUGUAAAAGAAAUUAAAUGAAUUGAGAUUCUGAGUGUCCGGUUAAUUCAGUUGGUAUGGAUAUUUCUACCAACAAUUGUUACCGAAUCAACUGCAAGUCAGACCUCUUCACCCGUCCUAGUUCUUCCAUGAUUUCCAAGUUAAAUUAGACAAGCGAAAAAUAAAAGGAAGCUGAAAAAUCCCUUGUCAGAAAACUAAUUGGUGUCACGUAAUGGGGUAUCAUCUGAAAUCAUGAACUGCGAUAAGCUUUCAACAUUCCAGUAAUUAGCUUUCUGAUUCAAAGCAUUCACUGCAAAUUUAGAUAAAAUGGCAAUUACAAGUUACAGUCAUUACACUGAUCAUGCAGUGUAAUCACUUCUCGUGGUGGUGCUUCCCAGAAUAGAAGAUUUGUUUACUUCUCGUGUUGGUGCUUCCCCUGUAAGAACUUUCUGGUGGCGUGUGACAAGCUAUAUAGAAAAAAUGGCACUCAAAAAGUAAGUUGAGUUGUGUUUGAACUCGCGAAGGUUGGAAACUAAAAAAUCAUGGCUUUGUAAUUGAUCAAUAGCAGAGGGCUGCUAGGAUUAAAGAUGUGGCUGACAGGGGAAAAGCGCAGCUAAAGGUUAAAUUAAAAUGACCUUGGCAGAAUUAUUGAAGUCACAUCUUUGUAUAAAAGAAAAACAGAACAUCUAGUAGUUGUAGUCACAGAAAAUCUACUAAUUGAAGUCACAUUAUGCUCUUUAACAUAAAAUCAAGAACCCCGUAAUGCUAGUAAUCAGUUUUUUAUUUUUAUUUUUCGAAGCAAUCAGCAGUCAAUCACCAUAAAAUAUCGCCAGAGAUGAAUGAUAACUAGCCAGUUUCUUUGUCGGAAGCUGGAAAGUGUUUCGAAGGGAAAGGUUUUUUGAAUGGAGAUAGAUAGAUGAAUGGAUUGUAGAUAAACAAAUGGAAGAAAUGGAGGAAACAUGGAUUAGAGAAUUUGAAUUGUUGCAGAGAAACCCAAGAAUUCUUAGACCUAAACUGACAGUGUCACAAACGGAAGGGUGGAAUUAUAAAUAUUAUUGAUGUACAUGCACUCAGUCAACUCUUUGUAUAAAAAAAGGACUCAAUUAAGCAUUCUGUAGUCCUCUUGUGAUAGAACAGGAAAUGAGAGAAAACCCCGGGAAUCAGAAAUCAUAAUAGGUUGACCCGAAUUUGACACAAAACUAGUUUACAAACCCUUCAUUAAAUUAAAGCAGGAUGGAACUGAAAAGUGACGACACAGGAGACGUUUAUCUUGACGUUAUCAAUGAUUCUGUGCACACUUUCACUGUUCAUACCGAUAUGUCUUGUUGGUCAAAUUCUCAGCACUUCAGUUAUAUAUAUAUAACUAUAUGGAUUUUAGCGGGGGUGCUUAGGGGUUCAUACAUAUGCUGGCUUAGCAUUAUGGUUUUGUUCACAGGUGUUGCCUGCAACCCAAUAGAUGCUACCUUAGUUGCAACUGGGAGUGCAGAGGAUAAAGGCUUUCUCUGGAAGAUUGGAGAUGGAGAUUGGAAAGUGGAGCUAAAUGGCAUGUCAUUAUUCUGCUUUAUGCAUUAUGGUUUGUUGAGUACAGGAUUUUUGUCAGGAUAAUGAUUAGGGCUGAAGACUUUGAACUAGGGUGUAAAUAGGUAGUCGGGGAUCUUUUAAGACAAGACAGUUUUGAUUCUGUCGUUUUAUAGUGGCAGAGAUUUUCCUCUGAAUUGAUGUUAUUUAGGGUUUAGCCAUAUGUCUUCCUAGUCCCAAUCAACACUGAUUAUCUGGAUUCUUUAUGUAUUUCUUAUAUUCGACAGAUUUUCUCUACGCAUUUCGUUGCAGGUCAUGAGGAUUCUGUUUCUUGUUUAGCCUUUAGUGCUGAUGGGCAGUUGCUUGCAUCUGGUGGUGUUGGUGCAACAGUUCGAAUUUGGGACUCGUCAGGUCAUCACAGACACAAACUUGAAGAUGCUUCUAGUUCUUCUGAAGUUGAGUUUGAGGUGGCAUCCAAGACGUCCUUUUGCGUUGGCGGGUUCUACUGAUUUCAUUGCCUCGAUGAAGGAUGCUGAAAAAGGCGUCCUUUUCAAUACGGUCAUGGUGGAUCUGUGACUUGUGGUGAUUUUACACCUGACAGUAUCUUCCAACUUUUUUAUUUAUUAAUAUGGGUGUUUGAGUCAGCUUGUGUUUACCUCAACUAAAUUUUAGAGUCCGUGGUUAAACUUCUCAGUCGCACUUUUUCAUAACUUGUUUCCCUACUUUGUGUUUGAGGAAGACCAUAUUAUUUGUACUGGUUCUACUGAUGCAACUCUGAGGAUAUGGGAUGCGAGGCAAUUCAUGUUGUAAGAGGCUGUGGAUUCUGCCAUUGAUUCCAUUUCAGCUUCACAUUUCCUGUACCAUUGCCAAGCCAGGAAUAAGCCCCUUGAGAUUUCCCAUAACUGAAAACAGGGGUUGUACCAACCUGCUUGCUGAUUUACAAACUGCAAGCUUGCUAUAUUGAUUGCCUCUAUCAGAUUUUGCUCUUUUUUAAUUUUUUUUGUCGAA
Long non-coding RNA from Populus trichocarpa (black cottonwood), 2662 nucleotides. RefSeq lists it as uncharacterized. The record is from RefSeq and is a predicted model, not a curated record. The transcript is spliced from 3 exons. Lineage: Eukaryota; Viridiplantae; Streptophyta; Magnoliopsida; Malpighiales; Salicaceae.